CGUGGAUUGAUUUGUCUGGUUAAUUCCGAUAACGAACGAGAUUGGAGCUUAAUUAAAUAGAAAGAUCAUUUUUACCUUUUUUCUUCUUUACGGGAGACUUAAAAGCGUGAUUCUUUUCUUCUUAAUGGGAUUUGCGGCGUUCCAGUCGUAAGAAACCCAGCAAUAACAGGUCUGUGAUGCCCUAAGAUGUCUGGGGCUGCACGCGCGCUACAAUGAAAAUUGCAGCGCGUGUGACCAUAACCGAAAGGUUUUGGUAAACGAGUCAAAUUAUUCCGUAUUUGGGAUCGAAUAUUGUAAUUAUUAUUCGUGAACGAGGAACUUCAAGUAAGUGUAAGUCAUCAGCUUACGCUGAUUACGUCCCUGCCCUUUGUAC
Molecule: ribosomal RNA, 373 nt
Filed under: Nematoda environmental sample
Lineage: Eukaryota; Metazoa; Nematoda
Description: bacterial SSU rRNA
Rfam family: Eukaryotic small subunit ribosomal RNA
Source: RNAcentral